RNAcentral lists this ribosomal RNA (253 nucleotides) under uncultured bacterium. RNAcentral's name for it is "partial 16S ribosomal RNA". It matches the Rfam family "Bacterial small subunit ribosomal RNA", at positions 524 to 776 of the family's 1533-position model. The record is from RNAcentral.
UACGUAGGGUGCGAGCGUUACCCGGAUUUAUUGGGCGUAAAGGGCGCGUAGGCGGCUCGGCACGUCCGUUGUGAAAUCGCCCGGCUCAACUGGGCGGGGUCGGCGGAUACGGCCGAGCUGGAGCAAGCUAGGGGGUAAUGGAAUUCCCGGUGUAGUGGUGGAAUGCGUAGAUAUCGGGAGGAACACCAGUGGCGAAGGCGGUUACCUGGAGCUUUGCUGACGCUGAUGCGCGAAAGCGUGGGGAGCGAACAGG